RNAcentral lists this ribosomal RNA (676 nucleotides) under Umbelopsis sp. CBS 559.86. RNAcentral's name for it is "eukaryotic LSU rRNA". It matches the Rfam family "Eukaryotic large subunit ribosomal RNA", at positions 50 to 648 of the family's 3401-position model. The record is from RNAcentral. Lineage: Eukaryota; Fungi; Mucoromycota; Umbelopsidomycetes; Umbelopsidales; Umbelopsidaceae.
GCGGAGGAAAAGAAACUAACAAGGAUUCCCUCAGUAACGGCGAGUGAAGCGGGAAGAGCUCAAAUUUAAAAUCUGGUUUGCUUGCAAGCCCGAGUUGUAGUCUGAAGAAACGUUUUCCAUAAGCACUGAGGCAAAAGUCCCUUGGAACAGGGCAUCAUAGAGGGUGAGAAUCCCGUCCAUGGUCUCAAGUUGUUUAUUUUGUGAUACGUUUUCAAAGAGUCAGGUUGUUUGGGAAUGCAGCCUAAAAUGGGUGGUAAAUUUCAUCUAAAGCUAAAUAUUGGCGAGAGACCGAUAGCGAACAAGUACCGUGAGGGAAAGAUGAAAAGAACUUUGAAAAGAGAGUUAAACAGUACGUGAAAUUGUUGAAAGGGAACCGUUUGAAGCCAGUCUUACUUGCCUGUGAUCAAUUUUUGCUUCGGCAUGAAUGCACUCUCGGGUAUGGUAGGCCAACGACAGUUUGGAAUGCGAGAAAAAAAUAGAGGAAAUGUGGCCUUCGGGUGUUAUAGUCCUUUAUAAAAUAUCGUGUUCUGGACUGAGGAUCGCAGCAAAAAUGUGGGCAGGUGGAUUUCUGUGGUAACUGUCGGUUAGGACAACUUGUUGACCUAGUCUUCCUUAGCCUCACUAUUUACCUUGCUUCUAAUUUGCUUAGGUCGUUGGCAUAAUGGCUUUAAAUGAC